Molecule: ribosomal RNA, 253 nt
Filed under: uncultured bacterium
Lineage: Bacteria
Description: partial 16S ribosomal RNA
Rfam family: Archaeal small subunit ribosomal RNA
Source: RNAcentral
UACCAGCACCCCGAGUGGUCGGGACGAUUAUUGGGCCUAAAGCCUCCGUAGCCGGUCAUGCAAGUCUUCCGUUAAAUCCACCUGCUUAACAGAUGGGCUGCGGAAGAUACUAUAGAGCUAGGAGGCGGGAGAGGCAAGCGGUACUCGAUGGGUAGGGGUAAAAUCCGUUGAUCCAUUGAAGACCACCAGUGGCGAAGGCGGCUUGCCAGAACGCGCUCGACGGUGAGGGAUGAAAGCUGGGGGAGCAAACCGG